UGUGUCAUCACUGCGAAAUGUGGUACUGGAGAAGCCAACUGUAGCGGGAGCUACCACAGAAGCGGUUCUGAGGGAUUUGCCAAGUGUUUAUAGUUCUGUCAGUCUGUGACAGAUUUUGUCUCAGCGAUGGCAUUCUAACCUCGCAGGGUGCAGUUAUGUAACGGUGUAUAGGUGUGCAGUUGUGAUCCAAACGGAUGCAAUUUGGAGUCUUAACACAGUUGUACAGUAAAAAAUGAAGGCAGAUUUUGAAGAUGCGUGUGGUCAGAGGGAGCAAGGCGUUAGGGAGUAGGAAGUGAGGUCCUCUCUCUCCUCCAUCUCCAGUGCCAACAAAAUAGUUUCCACCAACAACAGAACUUUAGAGUAUAGUAGCAAGAUAGAGAAGGUUGGCAGCGGCGUCUGGUAUAGGUGGCGUCUGGUAUAGGUGGCGUCUGGGAUAGGUGGCGUCUGGGAUAGGUGGCGUUUGGGAUAGAUGGCGUUUGGGAUAGGUGGCGUCUGGGAUAGGUGGCGUCUGGGAUAGGUGGCGUCUGGGAUAGGUGGCGUCUGGGAUAGGUGGCGUCUUGGGUUUCAUAUUGUGUCACUCCUGUGACGCAAAUCAUUCGGCCCUCGUUAUUUCCUUCACAGAACAUGUAACCAAGCAAAUAAAAUCCACAGGAAUCACACAACAAAGGGAUUCUUCUGGUCCCCACACUUCUCUCAGCGAGCCUAAAUUGUUUUUCUGCUUUGAGAAAAAUUGUAACAUUUGUGACCUCAAAGCCUCAGUCUCAAAGAAAGGACCUUUUCAAUUUCCAAAUGUUGGUAACUCGAAAUAGUUUACAGUUGUAUAGAGUAUGUCUUAUUCCUUUUAUGAAGAAUUGAGGUAUUCAUUGUGAUUGAAAGAAGAACAGCACUCAUGUUCCCUUUCUUGUGUGUUCUGCAG
This is a long non-coding RNA of Gasterosteus aculeatus aculeatus (three-spined stickleback), 916 nucleotides long. The record is from Ensembl. NCBI's taxonomy places the organism in Eukaryota, Metazoa, Chordata, Actinopteri, Perciformes, Gasterosteidae.